RNAcentral lists this ribosomal RNA (236 nucleotides) under uncultured Staphylococcus sp. Its description in RNAcentral is "partial 16S ribosomal RNA". It matches the Rfam family "Bacterial small subunit ribosomal RNA", at positions 103 to 334 of the family's 1533-position model. Lineage: Bacteria; Bacillati; Bacillota; Bacilli; Caryophanales; Staphylococcaceae. The record is from RNAcentral.
CGUGUGAGUAACACGUGGAUAACCUACCUAUAAGACUGGGAUAACUUCGGGAAACCGGAGCUAAUACCGGAUAAUAUUUUGAACCGCAUGGUUCAAAAGUAAAAGACGGUCUUGCUGUCACUUAUAGAUGGAUCCGCGCUGCAUUAGCUAGUUGGUAAGGUAACGGCUUACCAAGGCAACGAUGCAUAGCCGACCUGAGAGGGUGAUCGCCACACUGGAACUGAGACACGGUCCAG